CCUACGGGAGGCUGCAGUGGGGAAUAUUGGACAAUGGGGGGAACCCUGAUCCAGCCAUGCCGCGUGUGUGAAGAAGGCCCUCGGGUUGUAAAGCACUUUCAGUGAGGAAGAACGCCUGGUGGUUAAUACCCAUCAGGAAAGACAACACUCACAGAAGAAGCACCGGCUAACUCCGUGCCAGCAGCCGCGGUAAUACGGAGGGUGCGAGCGUUAAUCGGAAUUACUGGGCGUAAAGCGCGCGUAGGUGGCUUGAUAAGCCGGUUGUGAAAGCCCCGGGCUCAACCUGGGAACGGCAUCCGGAACUGUCAAGCUAGAGUGCAGGAGAGGAAGGUAGAAUUCCCGGUGUAGCGGUGAAAUGCGUAGAGAUCGGGAGGAAUACCAGUGGCGAAGGCGGCCUUCUGGACUGACACUGACACUGAGGUGCGAAAGCGUGGGUAGCAAACAGGAUUAGAUACCCUUGUAGUC
Molecule: ribosomal RNA, 465 nt
Filed under: Vreelandella stevensii
Lineage: Bacteria; Pseudomonadati; Pseudomonadota; Gammaproteobacteria; Oceanospirillales; Halomonadaceae
Description: partial 16S ribosomal RNA
Rfam family: Bacterial small subunit ribosomal RNA
Source: RNAcentral